This 464-nucleotide ribosomal RNA is filed under the name uncultured bacterium. RNAcentral describes it as "partial 16S ribosomal RNA". It matches the Rfam family "Bacterial small subunit ribosomal RNA", at positions 338 to 794 of the family's 1533-position model. The record is from RNAcentral.
CCUACGGGAGGCAGCAGUGGGGAAUUUUGCGCAAUGGGGGCAACCCUGACGCAGCAACGCCGCGUGAGUGAUGAAGGCCUUCGGGUCGUAAAGCUCUGUCAGAGGGGAAGAAAUGCAGGUGGUGAACAACCAUUCUGUUUGACGGUACCCUCAAAGGAAGCACCGGCUAACUCCGUGCCAGCAGCCGCGGUAAGACAGAGGCGGCGAGCGUUACCCGGAUUCACUGGGCGUAAAGGACGCGUAGGCGGUCGGACGUGUCGUCCGUGAAAGCCCCCGGCUUAACUGGGGAAGGUCGGGCGAAACUGUUCGGCUGGGGUGCAGGAGAGGGGAGCGGAACUACUAGAGUAGCGGUGAAAUGCGCAGAUACUAGUAGGUACUCCGAUAGCGAAGGCAGCUCCCUGGCCUGCCACCGACGCUGAGGCGUGAAAGCGUGGGGAGCAAAAGGGAUUAGAUACCCUUGUAGU